Molecule: long non-coding RNA, 1929 nt
Organism: Camelus dromedarius (Arabian camel)
Lineage: Eukaryota; Metazoa; Chordata; Mammalia; Artiodactyla; Camelidae
Source: Ensembl
UGUGUAUAUGCAUUUACAUGCAAUAUAUUGUAUAUGUGCAAAUUGUAAGAAUUCUACCUACUGUAACUGAAUAAUGAAAAAAAAGGAAACUGGCUAAUCUAAAAAAAAAAAAAAUCAAGCCUUUAAUAAUAAGAAAAGCCCUCUGUGCUCCGCCUGUCCCUCCCUCCACCCCCCACCCCACCACCGCCCAGCAACUGCUGACCUGGUCCGUCAUCAGCCUUACGGGCAGGGCGACCUGCUCUGUGUCUGUCACCUGGGACAGGUGUGUGCGACCUGGGUGGGCGGCGUGGCGUUUUUACGGCUCCGAGACUGCGCGCUGACAGAGUGCGCCACCAUCCUCGAGCCUGGGGGGACCCGCUUCUCCGGGGACGCGGCUUCCUCAGGCCGACCUCUGCUCCCGGCGGUGAGAGAGAACGCCUCCCUGUCUGGGCACCUGUGUGUGGCGAGGACCCUCUGGAGCGAAGCCUGAGGCGAGGGUCUGGUGCCCGCGGAUGGACGGGCGGGAAGUCACAGGGCUGGGGUGGCAGGAGGGGACUCCUGACAGCUGUCCUUCCCCCGGGGAGGGAGGGGGGCGGUAAAACCCACGCAUUUUCAGGCCAGCGGGUGUGCAUUUGGACACGUGGAUGGAGGGGGCCCAUGAACACGGGUGGGACAAGGCUGCUGUCUGCUGCAGCAGGAGGCCCCGUCUCGGUUCCCGCCCUGCCCGCCGCGGCUCUGACACCACGCGCUGCAGGGCGGAACCCAGAGGUUUCUUUUCACUCUUACUUUCCUGCCGCGCUCUCCCGUGGAGCUGAGUGCAAACUCAACCCUCGACCACCCCACUGGCGUGAACGCAGGGCAGGAUGUCCCCUCGGGCUGGCGUCCAGGGGGGUCACUCGCCUGCGUGGUAACAAAUCAGGCUGGCCGUGCUGCUUCCUUUGGGUGAGAGAGGCGGAUGUCGGAAUGCAGACAUGUCCUCCAGGUGUCCUCUCCCGGAACCAACUUUCUUCGACUUUGGUUUUGAACUUCAAGAAAAGGACAGCCCAGGAUAGAUACGGACGUGUGGUAAAAAAUCAGGCUGGCCGUGCUGCUUCCUUUGGGUGAGAGAGGCGGAUGUCGGAAUGCAGACAUGUCCUCCAGGUGUCCUCUCCCGGAACCAAUUUUCUUUGAUUUUGGUUUUGAACUUCAAAAAAAGGACAGCCAAAAAUAAAUAGGGACGUGUGAGUAAGAGAAAGAAAAUUUAUAAAAUUUUAAAGUGUCAAAAGAGGUAAACAAAAGAACGUGUUUCCAGCAUGGAAAGCAGGCACGUUUUAUUGAAAAUCAGAUUUAACUAGAAUUACUUUUAUGAGACCUUUUUUGGUUACUUCCCAACCAUAUUUGAUAACUCGGUAUGAAAACCCCAAGGUGUCGUGAGCCCUGUUUUGCUGUGAUAACCCCAAACGUGCUUCCAUUCAGGAAACAUCCGCUGUGGCUGGAUAUGAAUUAUCGAGUCCUAGGACAGAGGAAGAAUCAGGCCGGAACGUUCCAAACUCCACAGACUGCCUCUUUCCUGGACGCGCCACCCAGAUGGAAAAUCCCAAAGAGCCUCAACCGUCUUGAUUUUUAAAUCCGUUCCGAUUUACUCUGCUUUAGAAAGAGCACGACAAAGAAUUCAUCUUCUUUGCAGAAUCAGGUGGCAGGUCUCUGGGCUCCUCCCUCUGGCUGGCUGUCAGGAACCAUCCCGUCGGCAGGAUUGAUUUGGGGAGAACCUAAAUUUGAGCUCGCAGGCGUGGUUCUCCCACCCCCCGGGUUCCAUGAGGCUGAGACUAUCUGCUUGUUCUGCAAGGGGUCGACGCGUGAAACAAGGUAACCAGAGCUCUGUCUUCCUCACCUACAGUGCUCAAGGGAGCCUAGGUUGUACUGCAACCCCAGAAUCUCAGACACUUUGUGCCCCCCACCCCCGAAGACUGA